RNA transcript from Helianthus annuus (common sunflower), 1958 nucleotides. RefSeq lists it as uncharacterized. The transcript has 2 exons. Lineage: Eukaryota; Viridiplantae; Streptophyta; Magnoliopsida; Asterales; Asteraceae. The record is from RefSeq and is a predicted model, not a curated record.
GGCUGUAGCUAAUCUAUCUAACCUAAUGGAUGUAACUCAAUGACAACUAGCUUAAUGUAAAUAUAAAUCUAGCCCCCUGCCGCAUCGCGACGGGUUACUCUUCUAGUUCUACACCUAAAUAUUAUAUACCUUUGCAUUUAGGUCAUGUGUAGUUUACAUAUUUGCAUAGAGAGAAGUUAAAAACUCACUUUUCAUAUGAAAUUUAUAGAUAUGCAAAUCAUACCCUUGUAGUUCAUACUUAAGUUUUCUUGCAUAUAUAAGUAUAUAAAUCUGAAAUAUUAUCAUUUCAUAUGCCUAUGUAGGGGAUAUUCAUAGUUCCUUUUCCAGUGAAACAUUCAUUGUUAUCUUUGUUUAUGGCUCCAAGUGAAAACAACUCCAUUUAAGAUAUGGGUACAUUUCACUAAUUAGAACAAAUGCUUCUUGAUCGAAAAUAAAUAAUUGGUUCUUUUAAAUGUGUGGAUUACAAUCAUGUGGAACAGUAGAAGCAAUCUACAUUAAGUUGAAAAAUAAAUAAAAGUCCUAGACACUCAAAUUAACAAUUAGUACAUUUUUUCCUCUUAAAAUAUGUUUUUCUCCUUACACGCAUCAAAUGACAUUUACACAUUAAUAAAUGAGUUUAUUAAUGUACACUCAAUGUUGCAUAGCAUACAAGAUCUUUGAGGUAGAAAAUCGUUUCUAUAACAUUAAUUAUUGGUGGCAAAAUGGAUGUGUUGGAUUGGAUUGGUUGUUGGGUCAUGAUGGGUUUGGGUCAAGAUGGGUUUUGGUUAGGAUGGGUUUGGGUCAAGAUGGGUAAAAGAAAGAAAAAUGUCAGGAUAGGUUUGGGUAAAGAUGAGUUCGGAUCAAGAUAGGUUUGGGUUAAGAUGGGUUGAGAAUAAAUCAAUAAUAAUAAAAACUAAGAAAAAUUAUAAAAAAUUAAAGAAAAAACGAAAAAAAUAAAAAAAAUUGAAAAAACGAUCUGCACUUUUCCUGCAUAUAUCACGAACAUAAUUAAAAAUUAAAGGAAUAAGAUACAGCAUGUAAAUGUCAUUAAUAAUACACACCUUCCUAUGGAUGUAUUGUCUUUAUCACCAUAUUUACAUAGUACAGGAGGAAAAGUUAAAAUCAAGCCGUGCUUUACUAGUGGGUGUGAGGGCCGGCUGAGGCCCGGCUAGGACCCGCCCUCCAUAGGGUCGGCUCGGCAACAUCGGCUUCCCACAGACGGACUUGCCGUGCCUCUCUCCUCUCUCCUAACACACACACAUCUAUACAUACAUACAUAUAUAUAUAAAGGGGUUCAUCCUCCACCCUUUAGGUCCAUCCCCUCCAAACCAAUCCUACGUAGUGCUGACGUGACGGCCCAUCCUCUUAGGGAUGAGUCUCUCCACUAGUCUCAUUGAACAAGCAAGCAUGCAUUAAAGUGAUAUAUACCAUACUAGCUAGUACAAUUCAAUCUCUAUAAAUCAAUCAAGCAUACAUUCUACACAGACCAUACUACCUACCACCCAUUUCUUCUCUAAGCAACGAAAUCAUAGAAUGGCUCAAUCGUGCGUGAUGUGUGAGGCGUUAAAUGAAGAGAACACCACCGGUUGUGUUGCGGGGUGUCUGUACGCCCCCCUUGUGGCUCAAGGGGUAGUGACCUCUCUUGAGCUCAACUGUCUCCUCUCUAGUUACCAACCGUCGUACAUUCAUGGGUUUAUGACCACCGUAGGACCUCAUCAGAGGCCGGCUAUGAUCGACUCUUUCAUGUUUACAUUCCGUAAAAGAAUGGAAAACCCGAUCCUGUCUGCCGAGGACAUGGACCAACUACUAGCAAAACUUGCAGAGAUGAGGGAGGAGGAGGAGGAACAAGCUGCUGCUGGUGAAAACCAUGUGUAGUUUUCAUUCAUCGUUAUAAGUUUGUAAUCAAACUCCAUAUGUUAAGGUUAACUAGUGUGCUGCUUGUUUUUAUCUAUAUCAAGUAUUUUUCUUCAGUUUCUAAA